GAGUUUGAUCAUGGCUCAGAUUGAACGCUGGCGGCAUGCCUUACACAUGCAAGUCGAGCGGCAGCGCGGGGGCAACCCUGGCGGCGAGCGGCGAACGGGUGAGUAAUGCAUCGGAACGUGUCCUCUUGUGGGGGAUAACCAGUCGAAAGACUGGCUAAUACCGCAUGAGAUCGAGAGAUGAAAGCAGGGGACCGCAAGGCCUUGCGCGAGAGGAGCGGCCGAUGCCGGAUUAGCUAGUUGGUGGGGUAAAGGCCUACCAAGGCGACGAUCCGUAGCUGGUCUGAGAGGACGACCAGCCACACUGGGACUGAGACACGGCCCAGACUCCUACGGGAGGCAGCAGUGGGGAAUUUUGGACAAUGGGGGCAACCCUGAUCCAGCCAUGCCGCGUGUGUGAAGAAGGCCUCGGUUGUAAGAC
This 418-nucleotide ribosomal RNA is filed under the name uncultured beta proteobacterium. RNAcentral describes it as "bacterial SSU rRNA". It matches the Rfam family "Bacterial small subunit ribosomal RNA", at positions 9 to 431 of the family's 1533-position model. Lineage: Bacteria; Pseudomonadati; Pseudomonadota; Betaproteobacteria. The record is from RNAcentral.